UGAACGGCUAAGGAUGGAAGCAGAUCCAAUAUGGUUACGUUGUAGUUGAAUAUGGACAGUACUAUUUUUCAUAGCUUAACUCGAAUACAAAUAUAGAUUUAUAUGUUUUCAAAUGCGAAUACAAAAUGGAUAGUUCGGAUUCAGAUAUGCAUUUGGAUAUCUAUUUGAUUUGGCUUAUAACAAUUAGCAAGAGAAUCCAUUCGUUUCAUUGAUGAUUUUGAAAGAAAAAAAAAUCAUCAUUCAAUACACAGGUAGGG
This 257-nucleotide long non-coding RNA is filed under the name Setaria viridis. Its description in RNAcentral is "long non-coding RNA (SVIR_LNC001558)". The record is from RNAcentral. Lineage: Eukaryota; Viridiplantae; Streptophyta; Magnoliopsida; Poales; Poaceae.